Long non-coding RNA from Anopheles gambiae (African malaria mosquito), 2107 nucleotides. RefSeq lists it as uncharacterized. The transcript has 2 exons. Lineage: Eukaryota; Metazoa; Arthropoda; Insecta; Diptera; Culicidae. The record is from RefSeq and is a predicted model, not a curated record.
UGAUAUUUUUCAGGACCGUGAACAAGCGAUCGAGUGGAUGCAAAAGCGGGCUCUUCUGCAGCCGGUUCAAUUGUGCCCGAGAUGUCCAAAGGAAAUGAAGCUAACUCCCUACAAAAGCAUCGACGGCUACAGGUAUGUAUGUCCCGACUACAAAUGCGGCGGGACCAGCAGCAUCCGGGCCAGGUCCAUAUUUGCCAACCACAAGGCUUCGCUUAGGAGCCUUGUGCGUUGUUGUUACGAGUGGGCCAAUGGGGCCAACUCAACUCGUUGUGCGUUGGAGACUGGCCUCUCCCACAACACGGUUCUCUCGUGGUACGAUACGAUCCGAAGUUUUCUUUGGGAAACAUUCGAUCGUACACGAGAGAAGAUAGGGGGCCCUGGCAUGACGGUGGAAAUCGACGAAACUGUCAUCACUCGUCGAAAGUACAACGUCGGCCGGGUCGGUAGUUCCGGUCCUCAGUGGCUUGUUGGUGGGAUAUGCCGGGAAAAUAAGGCCAUUUUCCUGGAGCGUGUCCCGAAACGCUCGCUUGCCGUUUUGAGCGAUCUGGUGGUUCGGCAUGUUGAACCCGGAACGAAAAUUAUGACCGAUCUCUGGAAAGGUUAUAAUGGGCUGGAGGAGCUUGGAUAUCCCCACGAAUGUGUCAACCACUCCAGAAAUUUCCUCAAUCCAGAUGAUAACAAUAUCAACACACAACGGAUUGAGAAUGUUUGGAGAUGGUUGAAGGCAUUUUUGAGAAAACAAGGCACUAAUAUUAAAAGCAACAUGGACAAAUAUUUUGCUGAGCAUAUCUUCCGGAGAUGCAAUGAUGAUGUGUUUGUCGCCUUGAUAGAUGCCUUGGGGAACCAAAUCGAACAUUUUUAAUAAUUAGUUUUCUUUUUUUUAAGCAGGUACACUCAAAGCAGAUUCUCAUUUGGUCCAGAGAAGCUUAGCUGCGAAACGGACCCAAGGAGGAGGUUUCGAUGGCACCUUGCUAAGGUGUAUUCUACAUUUCCCCUCCUUGUAAAAAAAAAAAGAAAUUAAAUUUUAAAACAAAUCCCUUUCUAAGAUUUUAAGGCAGCGCAGUUAAAAACAUCGUUUUUUUUAUCGGGGGUUUUCCCCUGCGGUAAGUAAUUCUAGAUCAUAGCGAUCGGCUUGCACGAGAUGAUAACCCCAUUUCCUUCGUUUCCUAACACUUUCUAUUUGCAUGCCUCCUGCCGCACGAGCUCGCCGACCUACGCGUCGAUCCGGUUUUAAGUGGCAAGCGGGAUAAGGGAUAGAUCUAGUACACCGCAUACCAUCCGACCGAUUUCCCCAAUCGGUAGCACACCUCACUAGUCGAGGGGGUUUCCCCUGCGGUAAGUAUUGAUACAUCAUAGCGAUCGGUUUGCAAGAGACAAUGUAGGCAGUUUAUUAAUAUUUUUUUUAUUUUUCUUACUAUUUGCAUGCCUCUUGCCGCACGAGCUCGCCGACCUACGCGUCGAUCCGGAUUUAAGUGGCAGCGGGAAAAGGAAUCUACAACGCCAACCAUCCGACAGUGUUCACGAUAAGAAAGGAAACGUCUCUUAUCGUGGGGUUUCCCCUGCGGUAAGUUAUUUCACAUCACCAGUACAAGACGGUAACAAAAUUUGUAAACUUAAAUGUUUCUUUUUUUUGCAUGUUCCCUACCGCAUGAGUUCGUGCUACAUGUUGGAAUUACACGCGAAAUGAUAGAGAAUCGUUUUUCAGUACACAUGCCACAACACACUAUCGGUAUUCGUUUUCCUUCAUCUAACUGUAAGAAACAGUCACUGCGCAACAUCCUACGAUAGCCAAGCAUAUAGACGAAACAUUAAUGUUGUAUCAUGCUAACCCGUGACAGGCAAGUGCUCAGUAACUCACGCACGUCCUUCAACGCACACAUCAUGAAACAUCUGGUGAAUGAGAUUGCUGAGCAAAACACUCACCAAAUGGAAUAGAAUGGAUGAGUUUAUUUUAUGCAUCAUGUACCUCCCUUUUUGCCUUAUAAUGUGACCAGUGCCUUAUUUUUUUCUUUUGUUUUAUGUUAGCAUAGGAUUAGUAUUAGUAUUAGUUUGGUUUAAUUAGAUAUAAGAUUUUAUUGUGCUAAUAUACGCAUGGACUAUUGAAACA